AAGAGAGAAAGAAAGGGAGAGGCACGGGCAGAGAGCAAGGGAAGGAUGGGAAAUAGCCCAGAGAGACUGAGAAAGAGAGGGAUGCGGAUCAGGACAAGGAGGGGGAGAAGGACAGAACAGCGAUGGUCUCCAGGAUGGAGACGGCGGAGGAGCAGAAGGGGAUGGGGAGCAGGACGGAGCCCAGAGAGAAGAGAGAAGGCCCACCCAGCUGAGCAGGGGAUACAGGCAGGAAAGAGGGGCCAGGCUGCAGGAGAGAGAGGAAUGAGAAAAUACAGACAGGGAGCGAGAAAGAGAAAGAAAAAAAUAGUGGAGAGAGGGAGGAAUUAAAAAAUGGGGGCAGGGAGCCAGACAGAGUGCGGUGGGGAGAGACCAAAAAUAGCAAUUCUGGGCAACUGCCCCCAUUUCUUGAGCACUCCCCAGGAGCUGCAUUACCGGGAGCCUCAAGGAAUGUGCUGCCUGCCAAAGCCCUGCCCUGGGCCCAGUCCUGUGCCCUAGUAUUGGUGAAGAGCAUUGCCUUGCACAGUGGCAAGGACUGAGGGAAGAAGAGGACAGCUGGGGGGGGAAAAAUCACCGAACUGGUUUUUGGUUUUUGUUUUGUUUUUUUUUUUCUUGACGGUUUUGCUUUUAAAAAGAAUAGUAUUUAAGCUCUAAAUACAAACUGCAAGGAAAAGGAACCAGGGGUACCAGUCUGGACACAUUUAAAGCCUGAACCCAUUCAACAGCUGCACCAACCACCACUCCUGCUGCACACACUCCACCGCCUGCCUGCAGGCUGGGUUAAAGACUCAUCCAUCAAGUGGUGGCUCAGGACCAUGCCGGGGCAAAUGGCACUGCUUUUCUGAAUCCCAUGGCAGCGAUGGGCAAAGGAACAGGGAGACCCAGUGGAGACGUAGCGUGCGCUGGAGAGCGUCCUUCAGGGAGGUGACAGCCGAUUGCACAGCAACGCUGAGACCCACCUGACAGCAAAGGCGCCUGGUGGCCACGGACGACCCUA
Aquila chrysaetos chrysaetos is the source of this 994-nucleotide long non-coding RNA. RefSeq lists it as uncharacterized. The record is from RefSeq and is a predicted model, not a curated record. NCBI's taxonomy places the organism in Eukaryota, Metazoa, Chordata, Aves, Accipitriformes, Accipitridae. The transcript has 3 exons.